CCUACGGGAGGCAGCAGUAGGGAAUAUUGCUCAAUGGGGGAAACUCUGAAGCAGCAACGCCGCGUGGAGGAUGAAGGUUUUCGGAUUGUAAACUCCUUUUGUUAGAGAAGAUAAUGACGGUAUCUAACGAAUAAGCACCGGCUAACCCCGUGCCAGCAGCCGCGGUAAUACGGGGGGUGCAAGCGUUAGUCGGAAUCACUGGGCGUAAAGAGCGCGUAGGCGGGGUAGCAAGUCAGAUGUGAAAUCCUAUGGCUUAACCAUAGAACUGCAUUGGAAACUGUUAUUCUAGAGUAUGGGAGAGGUAGGCGGAAUUCUUGGUGUAGGGGUGAAAUCCGUAGAGAUCAAGAGGAAUACUCAUUGCGAAGGCGACCUGCUAGAACAUAACUGACGCUGAUGCGCGAAAGCGUGGGGAGCGAACAGGAUUAGAUACCCCUGUAGUC
This 440-nucleotide ribosomal RNA is filed under the name uncultured bacterium. Its description in RNAcentral is "partial 16S ribosomal RNA". It matches the Rfam family "Bacterial small subunit ribosomal RNA", at positions 338 to 795 of the family's 1533-position model. The record is from RNAcentral.